CUGAAGCUGUGGUCCCGCGCUAAUCUGCGCCGUCCCCUUCUUCGCCGCACCUGCGGAAGGUCACCUGGAGGAGUGCAAUCGCCUGACCCAGUGAAAAUGCUCGGUCCCCUAGCGUCCCUCACACUGACUAGACGCGUGCCCCGCCUCCUUCUCCUUCCACUGCAGGAGCCUGGGAAAGGAUCGCCGUAGUACCGAAAUUCACCCGAGGUGACUGAAGGUACUGUGCGAAGGUGCUGGGACCACAUUUCAUAACUGGCCCUGCCUUACUAGCCAACUCCUUAAGGAUACGUGGUAUUUAGAGAAAAUUCCUGUACGACUGGGAAAAAGCCCGAUGUGGGAUUUUUCACGCGAAAGGAGGGUCCGAGCACAGCCUCUCCCCGAAGGCGACCAGCCUAGGGUAAGGAAGGGAACGCUUUACCCACCUAUGUCUGUUCCCAGCACAGCAGACGUCUUGGGGUGCCUCUCUAUUCCACCCCUCUUCACCCGCCACAAGAUGGUUCACUUUGGGGUCUUCAGGCUGUCCAUGAAAUAGGCCGAGUUCGGGCCCCUCUAAAACUGAGAGCAGCUUCCUCAUGCUGAGAGAGUAAAGGCUGAGGAGCUGACACCCCCCCCCACCCCACCCCGUCUAAGACACCAAGGAAGCCCACAAUGCCAAAUUGUUCCCUGCCCUGCCCUCUAACGUAGGCUAACUAAAUCUGCAUAUGGGUAUUUCCUAAUUUUUGUCUCACUUUGCCUGCCUCUUCUCUUUUUUCAAAAGCUGCCUUGUCCUCAGAGCCUCCCAAGAUGGAAUUGUGAAAUAAAAAUUUUCUUCUAACUUCCUUCAAAGCUGGCUUUAAAUAAAAAACCUGUUUUCCUACCAAUCUGAAUAUUUUGGGAGCAACCAGCAGUGGAGUAGCCUCUUCUCCAGGGCUGUAUUACUGUCACCCUCUAACACCCACUCUUUCCCUUGCACUUUUGAUGAGUGAAAGAAGAAAAAAGAACACGGAAUAACACCUGGCACAUGCUUUAAAAUUUUUAUCACAAGGUACACGUAUUACUACUACACAGGCCUGACAUAUGACACUUUGUUUACCAACUAUUUCACAGUUCACAUUCCUCAGGAAGUAAAAAUCAGAAAUCAUUUUGAGUCUAUAAAUCAAUAAAAUGUCAUUCCCAACAAAAAAGCAAUUUAACUCUAGGUGAGCAUCUUACUGGUAUAAGCCCAAAGCCGAAACAAGGAAACACUGUGUGAUGCAUUGUAUUGGGGAAUUCAUUAUUUCUAAAGCCGAACAAAACUUAAUUUUUAAUUAGAAGCAUUAAAACUGCAACUCUUAAACUACAAUGCAAAUAACAGAUUCCACAACACUGAAUUUCUUUGAUGUUAUGAGUCCUUUGUCAGUAAUUCAAUAUUUAUUAAUACCUGCUUUACUUAUUGUUGCCGGUUAGUUAAAAUAAUUAAGUAAUGAUUCCAUUUAAAUGAGAUAGUUUCAAUGUUAACUUAAAAACAGCCAUAAAAAUAUCUGAGACAUAAGAAAAUAAGAUUUCCCCUCAAAGUCAAAAAGGCUUUGUGGACUUUUAAUGGAACCUAUCUUUUUCCCCCCUUUUUUCUUAGUGCUGGGGAUAGAACCCAGGUCCUUUUGAAUUCUAAGCAAGCGCUCUGCAACUGAGCUCUGUCCCUAGCCCUGAAGCCUAUCUGCUGAAAAUCACAAGUCUUAGCAAUAACUUCAUAUAUCUCAUUUUCUAGUGUUUCCAUCUUUCAAUGAAUAAUAUCUCACUAUUGAGGUCUCUGAAGUCAUUGAUUGCUUGGAAAUUUCCCAAGCUUCUCUUCUUAUCAUCUUCAGAACACAUUAAUGAAUUAACUUUAUACAUAUAUGCUAAUCAUUCACUGUGACCCAUUUCAACUGAUCCCAUGAGUGGAUCCAUCAGUGGGUCCAAAGUUCUUAGAAGUUCUAACAUGUUAGUUAGGAAAAAUACAUUUGCAAAGGUCAAAAUAGAUUACAUAGAAGCAAGUACAAGGAAAGCACUUUAAAAGUCUUCCUCAGCAUUUAGUGUACGUGAUUUCUUGAGAUUCUUCAAUUUAUUAAUGGCAGAAGUUACUGAAAUCUCUCCAUGAAUUUUGUUGUCUCUUGUUCGAACAUUUACAGCAUUAUUUAUCUUUUCUUUUUCUCCAACCACUGUAGAAAGGAAAGGAAAUAAAUCAACCAUUAAGUCAAAUGUGGUAUUAUGAGUCUAACUGAAUUUUUCUUCAGUAUUAGUCACUAAUUAUCUAUCUAAUGGUCAUUAAGUUCAUGCUUUAGCUGAGUGUCUUGAGGUAAGGAAUGACUUCUAAUCACAUCUUUUUACUGCUCACUUGAGAAUACAGUAUUGUGGCCAUGGGGCAUGAAUUAGAGCAGGAAAUAUUACAGAUCCCCUGACUCUACCUGGUGGUACUUGAUAAGUCAAAAGAUGCACACAGACCCAUGCUGGCCAACCAGAAUUUUCUGGGAUGUGGGCAAAAAGCUUGUUCUCGGUAGUAAUCCAUAUUGUGAGAUGAUAGCAGGAAUCUGCAUCCAUGUUUCUUGCCACACAAAAGGAACAAACUGGUCCACUGAUAAUUUCAACAAACUAGAUACUCAAGUGAAGCAUAAAUGACUGGUGCAAAAACAGGAACCAGAAAUGGGGAGAGAUAAUCCUUGUAAGGGCUGAGGCUCCUGUUUACUUUUCUAAUGGUUUGGCUGUUUAGGUCUACUUUUCAUGACUUGGGUACCCUUCUGAUAAAUCUUUGUCUAACCUAAUUUGAGAUUCUGUCACCACAAUGAGCCUGAUUAAACAACACAAUACCUACCACAGAGUCAAACAUUAUCAAUGAACAACUGUCAAUAGGACAACUUUUUAUGCAUAUUGAUUGUGUUUUCUACUACUCUUUCAGCUUAUGAGAGAGAGCAAUACCAUGCCUGCAGGCAUGUCAAUAUCAGUUUCUCUUGAUUAUACAGGUUUACAAUCAAAAUUUUAGAUUCUGUAUCCAAUUACUCAUGUUCCUUAAGGUAUUUUUUUUCACCUUAAUUCUUUUCUUUUGAAAAUUUGGAAUCUUUCUCAUUCAUUUGUUUAAUUCCCAUGAUUUCUAAUAAACCAGCAAAGCAAGGAAAAUAUUUCAGUUCUGUCACAUGGCUGAAACAUAAGGAGAAUAAUUCUACUGAAGAGGUUAUUUUCAAAUUUCUUUCAUUUUCAUUUGAGAUGUUCACUAUUGUUAAUAAUACUAUACAACAGGAUUCAUGUGGAACUUUAUAAGUCUUCAUCUAGCAAAUAACAGAGGACCUAGCAACAGCUAAUCCAGGACUCUUCUUUGUACAUAGAUAUUAAACAGUCAAACUGUCAUAAUCAAGUAGUUAUGCCAUAGUCCUUAUUUUGCCUUUUUUAAAAAAUUAAAGCAAAAUAAUAUAAACAAACUGAAAAAAUAUAAACAAAUUUAAGUUACCCAAAAUAAAAUUAUAUUGAGCCAACUGUGCAUUUCUUAUUUUCUUAUUCAGUGUACAACUGUCAUCUAAAUCAACAUCGGCCAUAAAUCCUUCUUCAAAAAAUUCAUUGGAUACCUGGAAGAACAAGGAAUACUUUCAUUAUUACAUUAUUUUUGGUAGACAGACUGACUCUAGGACAGCCCUCAUUAUUCCCAUCUGAUAUUCAUACCCCUGUGUAGCCCUCUACCCUGUAUCAGAGUCGGUCUGUUACCCACAGAGGAGGGCAGAAGUGGUGGUAGUACACUUCUGAGGCUGGGUUAUAAAGGACUGCAUCUCUCACUCCCCAGAUCACUCAAGCUGCCAUGUUGUGAGGACAUUCAGGCAGCCUAGGAAGAAGUCAAUAAGGAAACAGAUGAGGAGGAAAGAGGCAGAGCAAAUGAUCAGAACAACCUCAUAACAGGUUCCCAGAAU
Marmota monax (woodchuck) is the source of this 3884-nucleotide long non-coding RNA. RefSeq lists it as uncharacterized. Lineage: Eukaryota; Metazoa; Chordata; Mammalia; Rodentia; Sciuridae. The transcript has 3 exons. The record is from RefSeq and is a predicted model, not a curated record.